GGGUUGUGAGGUUAAGCGACUAAGCGUACACGGUGGAUGCCCUGGCAGUCAGAGGCGAUGAAGGACGUGCUAAUCUGCGAAAAGCGUCGGUAAGGUGAUAUGAACCGUUAUAACCGGCGAUGUCCGAAUGGGGAAACCCAGUGUGAUUCGUCACACUAUCGUUAACUGAAUACAUAGGUUAACGAGGCGAACCGGGGGAACUGAAACAUCUAAGUACCCCGAGGAAAAGAAAUCAAC
This 237-nucleotide ribosomal RNA is filed under the name Klebsiella pneumoniae. RNAcentral describes it as "partial 23S ribosomal RNA". It matches the Rfam family "Bacterial large subunit ribosomal RNA", at positions 1 to 229 of the family's 2925-position model. The record is from RNAcentral. Lineage: Bacteria; Pseudomonadati; Pseudomonadota; Gammaproteobacteria; Enterobacterales; Enterobacteriaceae.